UGUUUAAGUUGUUCUU
Molecule: small RNA, 16 nt
Filed under: Arabidopsis thaliana (thale cress)
Lineage: Eukaryota; Viridiplantae; Streptophyta; Magnoliopsida; Brassicales; Brassicaceae
Description: ATSL124920
Source: RNAcentral